This is a long non-coding RNA of Carya illinoinensis, 580 nucleotides long. RefSeq lists it as uncharacterized. The record is from RefSeq and is a predicted model, not a curated record. Lineage: Eukaryota; Viridiplantae; Streptophyta; Magnoliopsida; Fagales; Juglandaceae. The transcript has 2 exons.
GUCAUUAAGUGCUAUAUAAAGGUGAAGGUGUGCAUUCCUCUAAUAUUCCCAAAAUGGCUUAUUGCAAGGUUUCUACUACCACCUUUGCAUUUAUUUGAUUGCAUUUCUAUUCCUUGCAAGGAAUGUUGCUCCCCGUGAAAUACCCAACUACCCCAAGAAUAUUGCUACUCCUCGAGAAAUCAGUACCGGAUUUCUUCAAUACGGAGUGGAUCAGAUUGUAAGUCAUGGUCGUGAUGAUAUUUGAAGAGUUCUUCGAUAUUAUCACCAAUCACCUCCCGAUGGGCAGGGAAGAAGUCCUGGCGGGCACGGCAAAUAGAAGAAAAACGGUUUCAUUGUAGAGCUUUUGUACUCUUAGAUACCGCAACUACAAAGCUAUAUUCCUUUUAGUAUGGUGGAUGAUCUAAAAAGUCCGUGGAUGUAUAAUUUUCAAAGCAAGUGUGUGUUACUUGAGCUAAUAAUAUAGGGCAUCAUGGUUUCAGGUUCAGUGUAAUUUCCACUCAGCAAUAAAAUGACAUGGGUUACCUGAUUUCAUGUUGACAAUAUUUACAAAAUAAAUUGGCAUAUGGCAUUUUUAUGGAUU